AUCUGAAAUGGCUUGUCCCUGAACCCGUUGCACUUUUAUCAGUGUUUCUCCUCUGCUGUUGUUAUGUAUUUCCCUCCACUUGCGUGUCCAACCUUUCUGCCCCCCCAGCCAGCACACAUACACACACACACAUCUGUAGAACCUGCUAUUUUCACUUAGGCAGUGGCAAUAAUAUAUUGGCUCGCUUUCAAUCCAUUAUCACCUUAACAUCCCACAAAACAAUCGUUUUGUCUGCUAUAGAAAAAAGACGCAGUAAUUCCUUCUGAUGUUUGGAAGCAUCAAUCGUUACUAAGUAGCACGGUCUCUUUGUUAUUUUGGCCGGUGUGAAGUAUUUCUUCGGGCAUAUUUUGUAAGGAGAAUGUAAUUGUAUGGAAAUUAUUACAUUUAAAAACUUUAGUUUAUUAUCCAGACUGUGCUGCAAAGAGUUCGUGCAGUCUGUAGGGCAACAUAUUUCACUUGUUUGCAAUAGCAAACCGACCGAGUGAAAAGGACAAUUUUGUUACGUACCGAGUCGCGGAAAAAGGUCCCUAGUAAAGUUGUGUUAACACCUUUCAUCUCCUCCCUCAUUCUGCAAAGUAUGAAAGUCGCUCAGACUAUGCAUCUUCUUUUUGAAGUCUUGGUGAGUAUGAUGGCGAACCUGCGAUAGUGCCACAGUGUACUUUAGACACUGGCCGUCAGAGCACUAUGAGGAAAGCACUGUGCUUGGUGUAUACGCCGGGUUGCUAUAGUUACAGUUCAGCAGCCUGCCUUUAUGUAUAAGGGUUACUCAAAGUAGUACUAGAUGAGAGAUUAUUUUUAUCUUAACUACAAAACCCAAUGAAAUCCUGGGUUCACCCAUUAAAACUUUCCCAACGUUUCCCAGAUAAUCUUUAAACCAGAAUACGAUCGGUGCCACCUUUUAACUGCUGACAAUCUUACGGUCUUUGGCCAGCAUUACUACUUUGAAAGUGAAAGACUUUACUUUGCCGCCGCAACAGGUGGACAUCGCAACAAAAAUCAGUAAACGUUUAUCACCAUCAGGGUGGGAUGUGAAAGAGCAGUCCUGCUUAGGUUAUACUUCGUCUUCUCUACAAUCAUGAACAGGAUAAAACAGGAUCUUUCAAGUGUGCCAGAUUUUGCCUCAGUUUUUGCCCUGUUCCUUAUAAAAAGUUUGAUUUUCUGGUAACUCACAAAGUAUCCCAGUCAUUGUUCAGAAGUGUAUUUGGACUUCUUGGGACAUAUUUUAGCCAACUGAAGUAUACAAGCACAGAAAGUGAGGUUUAAUGUAAAUCCUGGAGUAAAACCAGUUGAACAGAAUGAAUGAAGUGUACAGAAUCUCCUGUUCAGAGAGGAUCCAGCAGAUGGAGCAGGAGCUUGCUUUGCAUCUCAAUGAGCUCAAGAUAGAGAUUGAGGAAAAUGGGAUCCUCAAACAAGCACCGUCACAGUCCUACAGGUACUUCUGCACUGUACAAUAACAUCUGUCAUGUUCAGUGAUUACUGUCAGUAUAUCAUCUUGGAAUGUCCUGAUGGAUGCAAAAUCCCUUAUAAGCAGAAAGGUCCUGAAGCUACAGUAGAAAAAGAAUGAAAAUCUGAAGUGAAACUGUGCAUUUGGGUGGUGGUGGUGGGGGGCAGUUAGCAUACUAGUACUGAUAUUAAGAUAAUGAGUUGCCUUUUUAUGGAGAUGCUGUUUUAUCCAAUUACAUAUUCACCUUUUUCAUUUCUGUUACAAUGAAUGACCUUCACUAAAUUUUACUCAUGAGUGCUUCAUUCAUAAUGAUUAGAGGAAGUCAAGGGCAGUCCUCUAGAAAUAAUAAAAAUCUGUAGAGCAGUGGAAUCCUUGGUGAGUCUUGGCUUGCUAUAUGUGACAU
Protopterus annectens (West African lungfish) is the source of this 1847-nucleotide long non-coding RNA. RefSeq lists it as uncharacterized. The transcript has 3 exons. Lineage: Eukaryota; Metazoa; Chordata; Ceratodontiformes; Protopteridae. The record is from RefSeq and is a predicted model, not a curated record.